AGAUAAAAAUUUAUGAUUUAAAAAAUUUAUUUUUAAUUUAUUUUACAUGUAAAUUUUAGUAUUAAAUUUUAAUUAUUUUAAUAAUAAUUGAGAUUUAUUUAUAGUAAUUAAUAUUAAAAAUUUAAGAGAUUAAGAUUUAGUUAUAUUAGAAUUAUUAACUAAUUUUGUGCCAGCAGUUGCGGUUAUACAAAAGAUAAAAUAAAUUUUUUCAGUAUAUAAUAAAUAAAUAAAUAAAUAAAUUAAAUAUUAAAUUAUUAGGUGAAAUUUUAAUUUAAUUAAAAUUUAUAAUUAUUUUAUGAAUUUAAUAAAUUUUUUUUUAAACUAGGAUUAGAUACCCUAUUAUUUGAAAUUUAAGUUAUAAUGCUAAAAAAGUAAAUAAAUUAUUAUUGAAACUUAAAUAAUUUGGCGGUAUUUUAGUUCAUUUAGAGGAAUCUGUUUAAUAAUUGAUAAUCCACGAAUAAAUUUACUUAAUUUAUUUAUUUUGUAUAUCGUUGUUAAAAAAAUAUUUUUAAAUAAAAAUAAUAUUUAAAAAUUAAAAUAAAAAAUUAAUUCAGAUCAAGAUGCAGAUUAUAAUUAAGAAUAUAAUGGGUUACAAUAAAUUUAUUUAAAUGAAUAUUAUUUUGAAAAAUAAAUUGAAAGUGGAUUUAAAUGUAAUUUUAUUUAAAUUAAUAAAAUGAAUUAUAAUUAAAAUAUGUACAUAUUGCCCGUCACUUUCAUUUUAAAAUUGGAAUAAGUCGUAACAAAGUAGAGGUACUGGAAAGUGUUUCUAGAAAGA
Molecule: non-coding RNA, 775 nt
Filed under: Euschemon rafflesia
Lineage: Eukaryota; Metazoa; Arthropoda; Insecta; Lepidoptera; Hesperiidae
Source: RNAcentral